Molecule: ribosomal RNA, 486 nt
Filed under: uncultured Marinicella sp.
Lineage: Bacteria; Pseudomonadati; Pseudomonadota; Gammaproteobacteria; Lysobacterales; Marinicellaceae
Description: bacterial SSU rRNA
Rfam family: Bacterial small subunit ribosomal RNA
Source: RNAcentral
AUUGAACGCUGGCGGUAUGCUUAACACAUGCAAGUCGAACGGUAACAGCAGAGCUUGCUCUGGCUGACGAGUGGCGGACGGGUGAGUAACGCGUGGGAAUCUACCUAAUAGUGGGGGAUAGCCAGAAGAAAUUCUGAUUAAUACCGCAUAAUCUCUUCGGAGUAAAGAUGGCCUCUUCUUGAAAGCUGUCGCUAUUAGAUGAGCCCGCGUUAGAUUAGCUAGAUGGUGAGGUAAGAGCUCACCAUGGCGACGAUCUAUAGCUGGUCUGAGAGGAUGAUCAGCCACAUUGGGACUGAGACACGGCCCAGACUCCUACGGGAGGCAGCAGUGGGGAAUAUUGGACAAUGGGCGCAAGCCUGAUCCAGCAAUACCGCGUGUGUGAAGAAGGCCUUAGGGUUGUAAAGCACUUUUAUGAGUGAAGAAAGGGCGAUGUUUAAUAGAUGUUGUCUGUGACGGUAACUCACGAAUAAGCACCGGCUAACUCCG